GCAUCCUGGGGCUGGAGAAGGUCCCAAGGGUCCGGCUGUUCGCCGGUUAAAGCGGCACGCGAGCUGGGUUCAGAACGUCGCGAGACAGUUCGGUCCUCUAUCCUCUGUGGGCGUAGGAAAAUUGAAGGGUUCAGACCUUAGUACGAGAGGACCGGGUUUGACGCACCUCUGGUGUUCCAGUUGUUCUGUCAAGGGCAUUGCUGGGUAGCUAAGUGCGGAACGGAUAAGCGCUGAAAGCAUCUAAGCGCCAAGCCACUCCUGAGAUUAAUUUUCCCUGAAGGAUCGUGGAAGACCACCACGUCGAUAGGCUGGGGGUAUAAGUGUAGUAAUACAUGUAGCUCACCAGUACUAAUCAUCCGAUCGACUUAAUUCCU
This 374-nucleotide ribosomal RNA is filed under the name Verrucomicrobiaceae bacterium. RNAcentral describes it as "partial 23S ribosomal RNA". It matches the Rfam family "Bacterial large subunit ribosomal RNA", at positions 2542 to 2925 of the family's 2925-position model. The record is from RNAcentral. Lineage: Bacteria; Pseudomonadati; Verrucomicrobiota; Verrucomicrobiia; Verrucomicrobiales; Verrucomicrobiaceae.